Molecule: ribosomal RNA, 374 nt
Filed under: uncultured bacterium
Lineage: Bacteria
Description: bacterial SSU rRNA
Rfam family: Bacterial small subunit ribosomal RNA
Source: RNAcentral
UACGGAAGGGGCUAGCGUUGUUCGGAAUUACUGGGCGUAAAGCGCGCGUAGGCGGCUUGGCGAGUGAGGCGUGAAAGUCCUGGGCUCAACCUGGGGACGGCGUUUCAGACUGCCUGGCUUGAGUCCGGAAGAGGGUGGUGGAAUUCCGAGUGUAGAGGUGAAAUUCGUAGAUAUUCGGAGGAACACCGGUGGCGAAGGCGGCCACCUGGUCCGGAACUGACGCUGAAGUGCGAAAGCGUGGGGAGCAAACAGGAUUAGAUACCCUGGUAGUCCACGCUGUAAACGAUGGGUGCUAGAUGUUGGGGAGCUUGCUUCUCGGUGUCGUAGCUAACGCGUUAAGCACCCCGCCUGGGGAGUACGGCCGCAAGGUUAAA